RNAcentral lists this long non-coding RNA (516 nucleotides) under Brassica napus (rape). RNAcentral describes it as "long non-coding RNA (BNAP_LNC013404)". The record is from RNAcentral. Lineage: Eukaryota; Viridiplantae; Streptophyta; Magnoliopsida; Brassicales; Brassicaceae.
CACAAACACAAGACUACUCAUACUUCAGCACAUCAGUCAUUAAAAGCUCAACAGAAGUGGACACAAGAAGCUCCUUAUCAAACACAAUGAAAGUCCCAAGCUUGAGCACACACAAACAAGCACAAUAACAUCACUCUACAAAAAAGAAGGCAGCAUCAUUCAAUUAAAAGCUAAAUAGAAUCGAACGCAAGAAGUUCCAUAUCAAACACAAUAAAAGUCCCAAGCUUUAGCACUCACACACACGCAUACACAUAUACAAACCUGUAGGUGAAUAGAAUGGACACAAGAAGUUCCAUAUCAAACACAAUAAAAGGCCUAACCUUGAGCCCACACACACACUACACAUACAAACUUGUAGGUGAAUAGAGUGGGACACACGAAGCUCCAUAUCAAACACAAUAAAAGUCCCAAGCUUUAGCACUCACACACACACACAAACCUGUAGGUGAAUAGAGUGGGACACACGAAGCUCCAUAUCAAACACAAUAAAAGUCCCAAGCUUUAGCACUCACACAC